UUCCCCUUUACUUAUAAACUUGGUAGGAAGCGUAGAUACCCUAAUUUUGUAACAUACGUGACUGUCGCCGACUCAAUUUUUAAAAUUGAACAAGCAAAUAUAAAAAUCUGAGAGCGUGUUUUUUAAUUUUCUUUGCGUUAAUAUCAUUUGUAUUUCCUAAAUUUUCAUUCAAUAAAGUUUAACACCUUUUGCGUAUGAUUUUAAGCAGUGGUGUAUAUAUUACUCCAUGUCGCCAGAUUAUAUUAUGUGAUCAUAGGGUCAAUUAAACACCCAAUGUAUGGACAAAGAUUUCGUAUUAUCUUUAUGUUUUUGAUCUAUUUUGGCGCUAAAAUAUUCAAAAACUGUGGGAAAAUAUUCAUCAAGCGAUAUUUGGAUGUGGCAUUGAGAAGAAGUCAUCAUUAUUCUCAAAAUUUUGCAUUCUGAUUUUAGAAAUGUAACAUACGAUACAAUAAACUUUUUAUGAAAACGUAUUUGCAGAGCAAAUGUUACCCCUUUUAUGAAAAUCUCGUAGUGUACAGAGAAUGAAAAUAUAAACAUUUCUUUUGCAAUAGUCAUUGGUUGGUCUGAAAUUUGACAAACGUGUCAAGAUGUAACAUUAGUGAUGUAACAUUCGUUACCGAGAAAUUAAUUAAAGGGAAUGAUAUAACAAUUUCCGGCGUAUUUUUGCUCUCUCUCUGCAUGAUGUGGUAUACGACAUGAACGUCUACUAUGAACAUUUGAGUUUGAAAGUCAAUACGUGUUAAACUUUGAGAAUUAUGAUUAAUUUUCUCUUACGAAAUGGCGCUUGUGAGAUCAGAAGCACAGAAUAACUACCAUGAAAAAAAAUGUAUUAAAACAUAAGAACAACCAUGAAAAAAUGUUUUAGAAAUAAUAUUAUAUGCUCCCCUUGUGGCAAUACUGAAAAGGUAGAAUGUCUGUAUAGACAGUGAAAAUAAAGGUUUAACUACCGGUCAAAGGCUACCAUAAUGAUACAUGUAAGUUUUGUCUCUCAAAAUACUUAUAAGCAACUGGUCAUUUUAGUAAUUUUGUAUGACCUUUGACCUUGUGAAUUGGAAGCCAAUGGGGGUCAUCUAUUCAUAAGGGCACCAGUGUUUCAAGUUUGAUGUCUAUCAAGGAAAGAUUUCUCAACGGACAAUAGCCUAUGUCCAGAGUAGUUUAACCGUUGUCCCUUUGACCUCAAAAUUAAUAGGGGACAUCUAUGUCUUAAGGUUCACGUUAAAUAUUCAUUCAUAACACCGCGUGGUGGAUUAUACUGACAGUUUCUAUGGAAAGGUAUUCCAAAAUAAGCAACAAAAACAUAAGAUUCGGUAUACAUUUAAUCAAAAUGUUGGGAAAUUAAACAUUUUCUUUAUAUUAUUAUUGUAAACAGAUUGUUAGAAAUGGGUAAAUAUGAUUCUUUCCAUUUUUUGAAUAGAAAUGAUGUGUUUAUAGUAAUGAAAGGAAAAAUAAGAAACAUACGUUACUUUCAUUGUUUAUUAUAACAAAGAGCAAUCCAGGUUUCAAAAUAUGUGUCUGUUAUUUCUAUAAGAAUCAUGAGCAUUUAUAUAGCGAAA
Ostrea edulis (European flat oyster) is the source of this 1553-nucleotide long non-coding RNA. RefSeq lists it as uncharacterized. The transcript is spliced from 2 exons. The record is from RefSeq and is a predicted model, not a curated record. Lineage: Eukaryota; Metazoa; Mollusca; Bivalvia; Ostreida; Ostreidae.